CCUACGGGUGGCAGCAGUCGAGAAUCAUUCACAAUGGGGGAAACCCUGAUGGUGCGACGCCGCGUGGGGGAAUGAAGGUCUUCGGAUUGUAAACCCCUGUCAUGUGGGAGCAAAUUAAAAAGAUAGUACCACAAGAGGAAGAGACGGCUAACUCUGUGCCAGCAGCCGCGGGAAUACAGAGGUCUCAAGCGUUGUGCGGAAUCACUGGGCGUAAAGCGUGCGUAGGCUGUUUCGUAAGUCGUGUGUGAAAGGCGCGGGCUCAACCCGCGGACGGCACAUGAUACUGCGAGACUAGAGUAAUGGAGGGGGAACCGGAAGUCUCGGUGUAGCAGUGAAAUGCGUAGAUAUCGAGAGGAACACUCGUGGCGAAGGCGGGUUCCUGGACAUUAACUGACGCUGAGGCACGAAGGCCAGGGGAGCGAAAGGGAUUAGAUACCCUUGUAGUC
Molecule: ribosomal RNA, 446 nt
Filed under: uncultured bacterium
Lineage: Bacteria
Description: partial 16S ribosomal RNA
Rfam family: Bacterial small subunit ribosomal RNA
Source: RNAcentral